Molecule: ribosomal RNA, 430 nt
Filed under: uncultured bacterium
Lineage: Bacteria
Description: bacterial SSU rRNA
Rfam family: Bacterial small subunit ribosomal RNA
Source: RNAcentral
UGGGGAAUAUUGCGCAAUGGACGAAAGUCUGACGCAGCAACGCCGCGUGAGUGAAGAAGGCCUUUGGGUUGUAAAGCUCUUUCGGCUGGGAAGAAGUGUUUGAGUGUUAAUAGCAUUUGAAUGUGAUGGUACCAGAAGAAGAAGCACCGGCUAACUUCGUGCCAGCAGCCGCGGUAAUACGAAGGGUGCGAGCGUUGUUCGGAAUUACUGGGCGUAAAGGGUUUGUAGGCUGAAAGAUAAGUCAAGUGUGAAAUCCCCGAGCUAAACUUGGGACGUGCACCUGAAACUGUUUUUCUUGAGUAUCGUAGAGGGUGGUGGAAUUGUAGGUGUAGGAGUGACAUCCGUAGAGAUCUGCAGGAACAUCAGAGGCGAAGGCGACCACCUGGCCGAUUACUGACGCUGAGGAACGAAAGCGUGGGGAGCAAACAGG